Molecule: ribosomal RNA, 609 nt
Filed under: Flavobacterium sp. G892
Lineage: Bacteria; Pseudomonadati; Bacteroidota; Flavobacteriia; Flavobacteriales; Flavobacteriaceae
Description: bacterial SSU rRNA
Rfam family: Bacterial small subunit ribosomal RNA
Source: RNAcentral
CUGGGCGCAGCCUGAUCCAGCCAUGCCGCGUGCAGGAUGACGGUCCUAUGGAUUGUAAACUGCUUUUAUACGAGAAGAAACACUGCUUCGUGAAGCAGCUUGACGGUAUCGUAAGAAUAAGGAUCGGCUAACUCCGUGCCAGCAGCCGCGGUAAUACGGAGGAUCCAAGCGUUAUCCGGAAUCAUUGGGUUUAAAGGGUCCGUAGGCGGUUUAAUAAGUCAGUGGUGAAAGCCCAUCGCUCAACGGUGGAACGGCCAUUGAUACUGUUAGACUUGAAUUAUUAGGAAGUAACUAGAAUAUGUAGUGUAGCGGUGAAAUGCUUAGAGAUUACAUGGAAUACCAAUUGCGAAGGCAGGUUACUACUAAUGGAUUGACGCUGAUGGACGAAAGCGUGGGUAGCGAACAGGAUUAGAUACCCUGGUAGUCCACGCCGUAAACGAUGGAUACUAGCUGUUGGAAGCAAUUUCAGUGGCUAAGCGAAAGUGAUAAGUAUCCCACCUGGGGAGUACGUUCGCAAGAAUGAAACUCAAAGGAAUUGACGGGGGCCCGCACAAGCGGUGGAGCAUGUGGUUUAAUUCGAUGAUACGCGAGGAACCUUACCAGGCUUAA